GCUGCCUUUUGAAAAGACAGAAAAAAACCCCCAGUUCAUGUAAGGUCUGCAGCUCUGAGAGAUGCACAAUCUGUGGCAGGUCUGGGGUUUUAAUGUCCCAUUAUGCAUGUUAAAACCAGGAGGCUCUUGUGUCUUUUCAUUUCUGCAAGGCUUCAAGCCUACGCUACUUUCUGUCUCUUCAGGAAACCCAUGAUUAGAUAACCUGCCAAGAAUAACGAGCUGGUGUGCGUUUGGGUUCCAAGCUCUGGAAUGAAAUCUGAUUUAUGCACAAGAAAUUUGUUACAGCAUUCCGUUAUCCUGACAACCAGGAGCAGAGCAUAUGCCCAUCGCUAUGUAGGGUGGACCCAUGCAGCCGGCACUUCCCUCCUUUUGUCCUUGGUUGGCCUCCCGGUAGACAUCUGUCUGAUAAUCUAACUAGGAAUGCAGCUGUUUAUAUGGAGCCCACAUGUGUUCCAUUCACACGGUUCAUGGCAUUGCAACCGUUGCUCUACAUCUACUGAGCUGAAGAGCAGAUGUUUCCUGUCUAACGUCACUGUGUACAAUCAUAAACUCCUGUCCUGUAUCAAGUGUGAGGAUAAUGAAUAAAACUGGCAGGCGGAGGACCUAGAAAUACAUUCAAUUGGAAGCAAACCCAAAAUACAACUUUACAAUACUAAAUGUUAUGCUUCGAUGGCUUCCAAUAUACUGUCUAUGUGGAAUAAAGAGGAGACUAAACGUUCACUUUUUGCUGAAAUUCUGUUAGUGCCGGUUUUAUAUACUGUAUGUGAAUAUAUAAUGCUUGUAUAUAUGCUUGCACCCUGUUUAUGAUUUUAGCUUCAAAAGGGCAAUCAUCUCCUGGCUAUGUGUUGAUAUGUUAGUAAAGGAUCAGGUUAUUCUAAUGUGCAGUGCAAAUGCCAAAUAGUCCUGAACUCACUGGUAGUAAAGACAAGGCAGAGAAUCCUUUGUAGCAUGCUUUACAACAGUGCUUCUCAUUAAAGACUCAAAUGCUUAUUGUAAUUAACAACCAGGCCAAUUUCACGAAUCAACACCGAGAUCUAUUUCACUUUCUACAGUUUCUUAUAGGAGCCUGCAAGCAUUGCUCUUCAAUAGAUUUUUUAGAAGCAGAAUCAAGAACAAUUAGAAUGAAAUAACCUGGCACUAUAAUUAAAUUCUAUGAAGCAGCAUCAACAGACAUGAAAGGAGAGGGUGCCCACUCCCUCAACAUAAUUGCAAAUAAGACUCACAGAUGGAGAAACACUGCUCUAAAAGACAGCACCAUUUGUCUAUUUGAGCCAGUA
This is a long non-coding RNA of Xenopus laevis (African clawed frog), 1277 nucleotides long. RefSeq lists it as uncharacterized. The record is from RefSeq and is a predicted model, not a curated record. Lineage: Eukaryota; Metazoa; Chordata; Amphibia; Anura; Pipidae. The transcript has 3 exons.